UCGACCUGAGAUCAGGCAAGGCUACCCGCUGAAAUUAAGCAUAU
Molecule: ribosomal RNA, 44 nt
Filed under: Gayralia oxysperma
Lineage: Eukaryota; Viridiplantae; Chlorophyta; Ulvophyceae; Ulotrichales; Gayraliaceae
Also listed under: 1 other name
Description: partial 28S ribosomal RNA
Source: RNAcentral